CCUUACCUACCCUUGACAUGUACGGAAUCCUGCUGAGAGGCGGGAGUGCCCGAAAGGGAGCCGUAACACAGGUGCUGCAUGGCUGUCGUCAGCUCGUGUCGUGAGAUGUUGGGUUAAGUCCCGCAACGAGCGCAACCCUUGUCCCUAGUUGCUACGCAAGAGCACUCCAGGGAGACUGCCGGUGACAAACCGGAGGAAGGUGGGGAUGACGUCAAGUCCUCAUGGCCCUUAUGGGUAGGGCUUCACACGUCAUACAAUGGUCGGAACAGAGGGUUGCCAAGCCGCGAGGUGGAGCCAAUCCCAGAAAACCGAUCGUAGUCCGGAUCGCAGUCUGCAACUCGACUGCGUGAAGCUGGAAUCGCUAGUAAUCGCGGAU
RNAcentral lists this ribosomal RNA (376 nucleotides) under Burkholderia sp. CAR2. RNAcentral's name for it is "bacterial SSU rRNA". It matches the Rfam family "Bacterial small subunit ribosomal RNA", at positions 969 to 1349 of the family's 1533-position model. Lineage: Bacteria; Pseudomonadati; Pseudomonadota; Betaproteobacteria; Burkholderiales; Burkholderiaceae. The record is from RNAcentral.